This 253-nucleotide ribosomal RNA is filed under the name uncultured bacterium. Its description in RNAcentral is "partial 16S ribosomal RNA". It matches the Rfam family "Bacterial small subunit ribosomal RNA", at positions 524 to 776 of the family's 1533-position model. The record is from RNAcentral.
UACAGAGGUCCCAAGCGUUGUUCGGAUUCACUGGGCGUAAAGGGUGCGUAGGCGGUCGGGUAAGUCUGAUGUGAAAUCUCACAGCUUAACUGUGAAACUGCAUUGGAUACUAUUCGGCUUGAGAGUUGGAGGGGGGACUGGAAUUCUUGGUGUAGCAGUGAAAUGCGUAGAUAUCAGGAAGAACACCCGUGGCGAAGGCGGCUCUCUGGGACGGUACUGACGCUGCGACGCGAAAGCGUGGGGAGAGAACAGG